CUCGGAGAUAGCUGGUUCUCCCCGAAAUAGCUUUAGGGCUAGCCUCAUGUUAGAUAUCCGGAGGUAAAGCACUGAAUGGCCUAGCGUCCGAGAGGAUAGCGAAGCCUAUCAAACUAAGAAUGCCGGAAUAUUGAUGCAUGGGAGUCAGACAGUGUGAGAUAAAUCUCAUUGUCAAAAGGGAAACAGCCCAGAUCUACAGCUAAGGUCCCAAAUUGUAUCUAAGUGGAAAACGAUGUGGAAAUACGCAGACAACCAGGAUGUUGGCUCAGAAGCAGCCACUCAUUUAAAGAGUGCGUAAUAGCUCACUGGUCGAGCGUCUCUGCGCGGAAAAUUUAACGGGGCUAAGAUACAAACCGAAGCUUAGGCUGCACGAAAGUGCGGGGUAGGGGAGCGUUGUGUAAGCGGAGAAACAGUAGCGUAAGCGGCUGUGGAGUUUACAGAAGUGAGAAUGCCGGAAUGAGUAGCGCGAAUGUGGUGAGAAUCCACAUGGCCGGAAACCUCAGGUUUUUGGAGGAAGGUUCGUCCGCUCCAAGUUAGGCGGGAGCUAAGGUCAGGCCGAAAGGCGUAGCCGAUGCACAGACGGUAGAGAUUCCGUCCCCACCGAAAGAUUUAAGCACAGGGACACUUUUUGAAGGUCGGAGCCAGGUGUUGGUUCUGGUAGUGAUCGAGGGAAAUAUAGUACCGAAGUCCGGCUGGAAGAGAGGCGAGAAAAGCUGUGUGUAUAUCUAAGGUGCCCGUACCGCAAACCGACACAGGUAGGUAGGAAGAAGAUUCUAAGGCCAACGGGAGAAGGGUUGUUAAGGAACUCGGCAAGUUGACCCCGUAACUUCGGAAUAAGGGGUGCUCACGAGAGUGAGCCGCAGAGAAUAGGCCCAGGCAACUGUUUACCAAAAACACAGGUUUGUGCUAAAUCGAAAGAUGACGUAUACGAGCUGACGCCUGCCCGGUGCUGGAAGGUUAAAAGGAGAUGUGCAAGCAUUGAAUUGAAGCCCCAGUGAACGGCGGCCGUAACUAUAACGGUCCUAAGGUAGCGAAAUUCCUUGUCAGGUAAGUUCUGACCCGCAUGAAAGGCGUAAUGAUCUGGGCACUGUCUCAACAGCCCGCCCGGCGAAAUUGUAGUACCGGUGAAGAUGCCGGUUACCCGCGACAAGACGGAAAGACCCCAUGGAGCUUUACUGUAGCCUGAUAUUGGGUUUCGGUGUUGCAUGCACAGGAUAGAUGGGACGCUGGGAAGGCAGUGCUUUGGCAUUGCUGGAGCGGACGUUGGGAUACCAUCCUUGCGACAUUGGAAUUCUAACCUGCGCCUCUGAAUCGAGGCGGGGGACAUUGUCAGGUGGGCAGUUUGACUGGGGCGGUCGCCUCCUAAAAAGUAGCGGAGGCGUUCAAAGGUUCGUUCGAUCUGGACGGAAACCAGAUGAUUGAGUGCAAACGCAUAAACGAGCCUGACUGCGAGACUGACGGGUCGAGCAGAGACGAAAGUCGGAGUUAGUGAUCCGGUGGUAUGUGAGUGGAAAUGCCAUCGCUCAACGGAUAAAAGUUACCCUGGGGAUAACAGGCUGAUCUCCCCCAAGAGUCCACAUCGACGGGGAGGUU
This 1593-nucleotide ribosomal RNA is filed under the name human gut metagenome. RNAcentral describes it as "bacterial LSU rRNA". It matches the Rfam family "Bacterial large subunit ribosomal RNA", at positions 838 to 2518 of the family's 2925-position model. The record is from RNAcentral.